GGGUCUAAUACUGGAUAUGACCUUCUGGCGCAUGCCAUGUUGGUGGAAAGCUUUAUUGCGGUUUUGGAUGGACUCGCGGCCUAUCAGCUUGUUGGUGGGGUAAUGGCCUACCAAGGCGACGACGGGUAGCCGGCCUGAGAGGGUGGACGGCCACACUGGGACUGAGACACGGCCCAGACUCCUACGGGAGGCAGCAGUGGGGAAUAUUGCACAAUGGGCGCAAGCCUGAUGCAGCGACGCCGCGUGGGGGAUGAAGGCCUUCGGGUUGUAAACCUCUUUCAGUAGGGAAGAAGCGAAAGUGACGGUACCUGCAGAAGAAGCGCCGGCUAACUACGUGCCAGCAGCCGCGGUAAUACGUAGGGCGCAAGCGUUAUCCGGAAUUAUUGGGCGUAAAGAGCUCGUAGGCGGUUUGUCGCGUCUGCCGUGAAAGUCCGGGGCUUAACUCCGGAUCUGCGGUGGGUACGGGCAGACUAGAGUGAUGUAGGGGAGACUGGAAUUCCUGGUGUAGCGGUGAAAUGCGCAGAUAUCAGGAGGAACACCGAUGGCGAAGGCAGGUCUCUGGGCAUUAACUGACGCUGAGGAGCGAAAGCAUGGGGAGCGAACAGGAUUAGAUACCCUGGUAGUCCAUGCCGUAAACGUUGGGCACUAGGUGUGGGGGACAUUCCACGUUUUCCGCGCCGUAGCUAACGCAUUAAGUGCCCCGCCUGGGGAGUACGGCCGCAAGGCUAAAACUCAAAGGAAUUGACGGGGGCCCGCACAAGCGGCGGAGCAUGCGGAUUAAUUCGAUGCAACGCGAAGAACCUUACCAAGGCUUGACAUGAACUGGAACAGCGCAGAGAUGUGUUGGCCGCUUGCGGCCGGUUUACAGGUGGUGCAUGGUUGUCGUCAGCUCGUGUCGUGAGAUGUUGGGUUAAGUCCCGCAACGAGCGCAACCCUCGUUCUAUGUUGCCAGCGCGUUAUGGCGGGACUCAUAGGAAACUGCCGGGGUCAACUCGGAGGAAGGUGGGGACGACGUCAAAUCAUCAUGCCC
RNAcentral lists this ribosomal RNA (1030 nucleotides) under Arthrobacter sp. I34. RNAcentral describes it as "bacterial SSU rRNA". It matches the Rfam family "Bacterial small subunit ribosomal RNA", at positions 159 to 1200 of the family's 1533-position model. The record is from RNAcentral. Lineage: Bacteria; Bacillati; Actinomycetota; Actinomycetes; Micrococcales; Micrococcaceae.